RNAcentral lists this ribosomal RNA (491 nucleotides) under uncultured bacterium. Its description in RNAcentral is "partial 16S ribosomal RNA". It matches the Rfam family "Bacterial small subunit ribosomal RNA", at positions 29 to 506 of the family's 1533-position model. The record is from RNAcentral.
AGUGAACGCUGGCGGUAGGCCUAGCACAUGCAAGUCGAACGGCAGCACAGUAAGAGCUUGCUCUUACGGGUGGCGAGUGGCGGACGGGUGAUGAAUACAUCGGAAUCUACUUUUUCGUGGGGGAUAACGUAGGGAAACUUACGCUAAUACCGCAUACGACCUACGGGUGAAAGCAGGGGAUCUUCGGACCUUGCGCGAUUGAAUGAGCCGAUGUCGGAUUAGCUAGUUGGCGGGGUAAAGGCCCACCAAGGCGACGAUCCGUAGCUGGUCUGAGAGGAUGAUCAGCCACACUGGAACUGAGACACGGUCCAGACUCCUACGGGAGGCAGCAGUGGGGAAUAUUGGACAAUGGGCGCAAGCCUGAUCCAGCCAUACCGCGUGGGUGAAGAAGGCCUUCGGGUUGUAAAGCCCUUUUGUUGGGAAAGAAAAGCAGCAGGUUAAGACCCCGCUGUUCGGACGGUACCCAAAGAAUAAGCACCGGCUAACUUCGU